AUACGGAGGAUCCGAGCGUUAUCCGGAUUUUAUUGGGUUUAAAGGGUGCGUAGGCGGAAAAAUAAGUCAGUUGUGAAAGUUUGCGGCUCAACCGUAAAAUUGCAGUUGAUACUGUUUUUCUUGAGUGUACAUAAGGUAGGCGGAAUUCGUGGUGUAGCGGUGAAAUGCUUAGAUAUCACGAAGAACUCCAAUUGCGAAGGCAGCUUACCGGGGUACAACUGACGCUGAGGCACGAAAGUGUGGGUAUC
RNAcentral lists this ribosomal RNA (248 nucleotides) under uncultured bacterium. RNAcentral describes it as "partial 16S ribosomal RNA". It matches the Rfam family "Bacterial small subunit ribosomal RNA", at positions 523 to 769 of the family's 1533-position model. The record is from RNAcentral.